RNAcentral lists this ribosomal RNA (117 nucleotides) under Candidatus Omnitrophota bacterium. The record is from RNAcentral. Lineage: Bacteria; Pseudomonadati; Candidatus Omnitrophota.
GGAGGUGCUUAUACCGGAGGGGUCACACCCGUGCCCAUUCCGAAUACGGUCGUUAAGUCCUCCAGGGCCCAUGGUACUGCUCUCGUAGGGGAGUGGGAGAGUAGGUCAGUGCCUCCC